UUUGCUGACGAGUGGCGGACGGGUGAGUAAUGUCUGGGAAACUGCCUGAUGGAGGGGGAUAACUACUGGAAACGGUAGCUAAUACCGCAUAACGUCGCAAGACCAAAGAGGGGGACCUUCGGGCCUCUUGCCAUCGGAUGUGCCCAGAUGGGAUUAGCUAGUAGGUGGGGUAACGGCUCACCUAGGCGACGAUCCCUAGCUGGUCUGAGAGGAUGACCAGCCACACUGGAACUGAGACACGGUCCAGACUCCUACGGGAGGCAGCAGUGGGGAAUAUUGCACAAUGGGCGCAAGCCUGAUGCAGCCAUGCCGCGUGUAUGAAGAAGGCCUUCGGGUUGUAAAGUACUUUCAGCGGGGAGGAA
Molecule: ribosomal RNA, 362 nt
Filed under: Escherichia coli
Lineage: Bacteria; Pseudomonadati; Pseudomonadota; Gammaproteobacteria; Enterobacterales; Enterobacteriaceae
Description: bacterial SSU rRNA
Rfam family: Bacterial small subunit ribosomal RNA
Source: RNAcentral